This 440-nucleotide ribosomal RNA is filed under the name uncultured bacterium. RNAcentral describes it as "partial 16S ribosomal RNA". It matches the Rfam family "Bacterial small subunit ribosomal RNA", at positions 338 to 795 of the family's 1533-position model. The record is from RNAcentral.
CCUACGGGCGGCAGCAGUGGGGGAUAUUGCACAAUGGGGGGAACUCUGAUGCAGCGACGCCGCGUGGGUGAAGAAGCGCCUCGGCGCGUAAAGCCCUGUCAGCAGGGAAGAAAAUGACGGUACCUGAAGAAGAAGCCCCGGCUAACUACGUGCCAGCAGCCGCGGUAAGACGUAGGGGGCAAGCGUUAUCCGGAUUUACUGGGUGUAAAGGGGGCGCAGACGGCGAUGCAAGCCAGGAGUGAAAGCCUGGGGCCCAACCCCGGGACUGCUAUUGGAACUGCGUGGCUGGAGUGCAGGAGGGGCAGGCGGAAUGCCUGGUGUAGCGGUGAAAUGCGUAGAUAUCAGGAGGAACACCGGUGGCGAAGGCGGCCUGCUGGACUGCAACUGACGUUGAGGCCCGAAAGCGUGGGGAGCAAACAGGAUUAGAUACCCCAGUAGUC